UCUUGUAAGGUUUGCCCUCUCUAUGAAUAUUUUGCUCAUGCUCUCUUUCACACCCCCGCCCUCCCCCUGUAGGUGGAAAGAAGUUUUACGUUUUUCUGGUGUUCUAAGAUGCUAGGAAUUGCAAACAGAUAUAGAAGAGUGAGAUCAUCUUUAUAUGUCAUCUUUUCACUUCUUUUGUUUAUUUUUAUGUCUUCUUGAGAUCUUAUUUACAUUUAGUUCAGCGUCUCUCUUUUGUUCUACAAGAUACCUAGCACAAAACUUUUCCAUUGCAGCCAUUACUUGAACAGGAUCCCAUUUUUAUUUCGUAAAGCAGAUGCUGAAAACCCCAUCUCUUUUAUCCUUUGUCUAAUAGAACCAAAUUCUUUUGUGAUGUUUAAUCCUAGAGAUGAUUCAGUUGAGCUGGUUUUAUUCAAUCCAUCAUAAUGCUUUGGCUCGAAGCCAUUUCUAACCACUGAUGUGAAAAUGUUUUGUUUUGCUAGUGUUAAUUUUCCUUCACCUAUGCAUCUGAGCUCCAAAUUUUUGCAUUUUAUUAUCACUAGUCAUUGGCAGAUAAAGUAAGGGUCCCACUCUAUGUGAUGUGGAAUGAGCAGGUCAACCGCACCCAUUUGAUUGGUUCAUACUUCACAGGUGUGGGAUUCCAUGAUCCAUCAUGGACGUCACUUCUUGAUGAUAAGAAGAAUUCUUAAUCCUAUAUAUAUGUUUGUUCAGUGUUUUAGGUGGAGGGUGUGAUGCAAAUGGGACUGAGACGCAAGAGACAGGUCAUCCUUUUAUCAUUGAAUAGCUGAUAAAAACAAUGUCGUUUUUGUGACAUAAGGGAAUGCCACGUGUCAGUCCUAGAGUGGCUGUAUGAUAUGCAUGCCAGCUGCAAGUAUUUAUUGCCUACCACAUUAAAUAUUCUGUAAUGGAAGGCGGUGACUACUGACUACGUUGUUUGAUGUCUUAAUCGUAGUGGUGAUCAUUCUAGAGUCCGUGGUUCUAUAAAUUAUAUUUAUAAAUACAUAUAAUUAACAUUGUUGACUUAGCUUGUCAAUUAUUCUUUUUCUAAUUUUUCUUGAACUUGCUGGCAGUGCUAAGCCGGACAUUCAGC
This 1087-nucleotide unclassified non-coding RNA is filed under the name Hevea brasiliensis (rubber tree). The record is from RNAcentral. Lineage: Eukaryota; Viridiplantae; Streptophyta; Magnoliopsida; Malpighiales; Euphorbiaceae.